Small nucleolar RNA from Gopherus agassizii (Agassiz's desert tortoise), 64 nucleotides. The record is from Ensembl. NCBI's taxonomy places the organism in Eukaryota, Metazoa, Chordata, Testudines, Testudinidae.
UUAUAAUGAUGUUGAUAAAUGUCUGACCUGAAAUCAGUAUGUAGACUACUUCAUUACUGAAAGA